GAGGAUGUAGCUCAGUGGUAGAGUGCGUGCCUAGCAUGCAUAAGGUCCUGGGUUCAAUCCUCACUAUCUGCA
This 72-nucleotide transfer RNA is filed under the name Camelus bactrianus (Bactrian camel). It matches the Rfam family "tRNA". Rfam says of the family: Transfer RNA (tRNA) molecules are approximately 80 nucleotides in length. Their secondary structure includes four short double-helical elements and three loops (D, anti-codon, and T loops). Lineage: Eukaryota; Metazoa; Chordata; Mammalia; Artiodactyla; Camelidae. The record is from Rfam by way of RNAcentral. RNAcentral also lists the same sequence under 2 other names.